AUACGGAGGAUCCAAGCGUUAUCCGGAAUCAUUGGGUUUAAAGGGUCCGUAGGCGGGUUUGUAAGUCAGUGGGGAAAGUUUUCGGCUCAACCGGAAAAUUGCCAUUGAUACUGCAAGUCUUGAAUCAUUAUGAAGUGGUUAGAAUGUGUAGUGUAGCGGUGAAAUGCAUAGAUAUUACACAGAAUACCGAUUGCGAAGGCAGAUCACUAAUAAUGUAUUGACGCUAAGGGACGAAAGCGUGGGUAGCGAACAGGAUUAGAAACCCUAGUAGUCC
Molecule: ribosomal RNA, 274 nt
Filed under: uncultured bacterium
Lineage: Bacteria
Description: partial 16S ribosomal RNA
Rfam family: Bacterial small subunit ribosomal RNA
Source: RNAcentral